Molecule: ribosomal RNA, 228 nt
Filed under: uncultured Lactobacillus sp.
Lineage: Bacteria; Bacillati; Bacillota; Bacilli; Lactobacillales; Lactobacillaceae
Description: partial 16S ribosomal RNA
Rfam family: Bacterial small subunit ribosomal RNA
Source: RNAcentral
UAGUCUGGGAUACCACUUGGAAACAGGUGCUAAUACCGGAUAAGAAAGCGGAUCGCAUGAUCAGCUUUUAAAAGGCGGCGUAAGCUGUCGCUAUGGGAUGGCCCGCGGUGCAUUAGCUAGUUGGUAAGGUAAAGGCUUACCAAGGCGAUGAUGCAUAGCCGAGUUGAGAGACUGAUCGGCCACAUUGGGACUGAGACACGGCCCAAACUCCUACGGGAGGCAGCAGCA